UUUUUGAUCAAAAAGUUCAGUACUAAACUGAUAAAAGGAACACAAUGUACUUGAAGAACAUGAAAACAAACACAAGAAUCCCAGUAGCAAAAGUUCACAAAAGCUUUUUCCUAGAUACAACUUCCUCACCCUUUCUCCCUCUAAUACAGGCCUUCUGUAGAUUUCACUCCAAGAAAGUCUCCAUGACAUCCGUAUACAUCCCUGCUUCGGAAUUCCUGUACUCAGCAGGUUGUUGCUGAUGUGGAUCAAUUGAAGUGGAAGAAGACAAUGUGGCCAUUCUUGCAGGCAAAGUAAAGCUCCUUUCGAACUUGUUUUCCAUUUUUCGUGCACUAUCUGGAUGGCUGUCCAAGCUCAAGAACUCGUUGGGAUUUGCACUGCUUGCACUAUGGUGGUUUUGGUCUGCUUUGUUCCCCAAGCCCUCAGGGUUAAACAAAAGCUUGGCAUCAUUAGUUCUUCCGGUUAAAGCAUUGAAGAGAGACAACCCAUUAGGCCAUUUAAUGUCAUUUUCAGGCUCUCCUAUCAUUUCUUCCAUUCGGGUUUCUGCUGAAUGAGGAAGGAUGAACAUAUGGGGCUCAUAUCUUUUGAUUGUGGAAAUCCAAGUCUAGCUGCUGGGUUUUGAAAAUUUGGCGAAGAAAGCAUAGAAGCUGCAGAUGGGAGUGGCAUUUGACCCCUGUUGAAGAGAGGUG
This 686-nucleotide unclassified non-coding RNA is filed under the name Hevea brasiliensis (rubber tree). Lineage: Eukaryota; Viridiplantae; Streptophyta; Magnoliopsida; Malpighiales; Euphorbiaceae. The record is from RNAcentral.